GCUUUUCUAUCCUUAUUCCCGCUUCAUUUCUUUCACCCCAGCAUGUUUCGUGGAGUUUCCGAAAAUCUUCAUCGAGCAAGAGAUAUGACAAAAACAAUUCACCUCACAUCUGAACAGUCCCUGAUUUUUCUUUUUUCCUGCAAGGAUUUAUUUCUGAAAUUUUUUGAGCUAAUCAAUAUUUUGGGUUAUUUAUUAUCACUUCUGCUAUCACUGUUUGCUGUCAUCCCGUUUCUCGUCUAUAACCGUGCAGAUAAGGAAUGCAAAUAUAUCUAGGGAUCCACCUAUACAUCAGAGGAGAGAGCAUCAACAUAAGCUUUCUGUAAC
RNAcentral lists this long non-coding RNA (324 nucleotides) under Phoenix dactylifera (date palm). Its description in RNAcentral is "long non-coding RNA (PDAC_LNC003055)". The record is from RNAcentral. Lineage: Eukaryota; Viridiplantae; Streptophyta; Magnoliopsida; Arecales; Arecaceae.